AGACUCCUACGGGAGGCAGCAGUGGGGAAUAUUGCACAAUGGGCGCAAGCCUGAUGCAGCGACGCCGCGUGGGGGAUGACGGCCUUCGGGUUGUAAACCUCUUUCACCAUCGACGAAGGUCCGGGUUUUCUCGGAUUGACGGUAGGUGGAGAAGAAGCACCGGCCAACUACGUGCCAGCAGCCGCGGUAAUACGUAGGGUGCGAGCGUUGUCCGGAAUUACUGGGCGUAAAGAGCUCGUAGGUGGUUUGUCGCGUUGUUCGUGAAAUCUCACGGCUUAACUGUGAGCGUGCGGGCGAUACGGGCAGACUAGAGUACUGCAGGGGAGACUGGAAUUCCUGGUGUAGCGGUGGAAUGCGCAGAUAUCAGGAGGAACACCGGUGGCGAAGGCGGGUCUCUGGGCAGUAACUGACGCUGAGGAGCGAAAGCGUGGGGAGCGAACAGGAUUAGAUACCCUGGUAGUCCACGCCGUAAACGGUGGGUACUAGGUGUGGGUUUCCUUCCUUGGGAUCCGUGCCGUAG
This 520-nucleotide ribosomal RNA is filed under the name uncultured Mycobacterium sp. RNAcentral's name for it is "bacterial SSU rRNA". It matches the Rfam family "Bacterial small subunit ribosomal RNA", at positions 333 to 851 of the family's 1533-position model. The record is from RNAcentral. Lineage: Bacteria; Bacillati; Actinomycetota; Actinomycetes; Mycobacteriales; Mycobacteriaceae.